Molecule: ribosomal RNA, 445 nt
Filed under: uncultured bacterium
Lineage: Bacteria
Description: bacterial SSU rRNA
Rfam family: Bacterial small subunit ribosomal RNA
Source: RNAcentral
CCAGACUCCUACGGGAGGCAGCAGUGGGGGAUAUUGCACAAUGGGGGGAACCCUGAUGCAGCGACGCCGCGUGGGUGAAGAAGCGCCUCGGCGCGUAAAGCCCUGUCAGCAGGGAAGAAAAUGACGGUACCUGAAGAAGAAGCCCCGGCUAACUACGUGCCAGCAGCCGCGGUAAUACGUAGGGGGCAAGCGUUAUCCGGAUUUACUGGGUGUAAAGGGAGCGUAGGCGGCGACGCAAGUCAGAAGUGAAAGCCCGGGGCUCAACUCCGGGACUGCUUUUGAAACUGCGUUGCUAGAUUGCGGGAGAGGCAAGUGGAAUUCCUAGUGUAGCGGUGAAAUGCGUAGAUAUUAGGAGGAACACCAGUGGCGAAGGCGGCCUACUGGACGGUGACUGACGCUGAGGCUCGAAAGCGUGGGGAGCAAACAGGAUUAGAUACCCUUGUAC